AUAUUUUAUGGUUCCAUCAUAGGUUCAAUGAAUUUCAAGUCAGUCACGACAGUAAUGAUUCUUCUCAGUCUUCUGUUGUUAUCCUUAGCAGCAACUCUGUUUAGAACUUCAUCAGAGACAACUGAGCAGAUAAGUCUCUUUCAAUAGAUGAGAUCAAUGGACCUUUGUUCUCUCAUUGUUGUACAAAGCCACUUUUUAAUUUUGUUUUAAGAGAAAAAGGAUCAUUCACAUGAUGCAGAGCUUACAGCUAUGGUGUGAUAGCUCCAAAAAGAUACUCCUCAAACUUCUACCAGUAGUGUUGCUAUGGCAUGCUUGGCCGAAAAACACUUUUCAAAAAUCAUAUCCUUAUUGAGAUUGUAGUUAUAAAUAAUUGGGAGGAUCUAAAAAGCUGGACAACUGAGGGUUUCAGUGCUGAUUAGAGCAUAGUAUAUCAAGAUUGGGACCUGAGAACUGUUUGUUCAGCUCAUAAAGUAUGCAGUCAAUUACUGGAAUUUUUCAUUAUGUUAUCUUGAAGUCGAUGUGGAAUCACUCUUGUAUGUCCAUGACCAUCAGUAAAGAUGAUGUCUAAUAGUGGUUCUGACUUCUGAGCUGGACUGUAAAGUAAAGGCCGAAAAGACAAAUUUAAUCCUGGCAAUAUCAAAAAACAGCAAUUCAUAUUGACUAUAGUCUAAUGAUGUAAAAUUUUGUUGCUGUCAUUUUUAUUCAUAAAAAAUGAUAAUUCAAAUUGCAGCAAAUUUAGUGGUGCUAACACUGACACUAUA
RNAcentral lists this long non-coding RNA (761 nucleotides) under Amphimedon queenslandica. RNAcentral describes it as "uncharacterized LOC109589446, transcript variant X1". Lineage: Eukaryota; Metazoa; Porifera; Demospongiae; Haplosclerida; Niphatidae. The record is from RNAcentral.